GAUGAAGAACGUAGCGAGAUGCGAUAAGUAAUGUGAAUUGCAGAAUUCAGUGAAUCAUCGAAUCUUUGAACGCACAUUGCGCCCGCCAGCACUCUGGCGGGCAUGCCUGUUCGAGCGUCAUUUCAACCAUCAAGCCCCCAGGGGCUUGUGCUGGGGCCCUGCGGCUGCCCGCAGGCCCUGAAAACCAGUGGCGGGCUCGCUAGUCACACCGAGCGCAGUAGCACAUCUCGCUCAGGGCGUGCGGCGGGCUCCUGCCGUGAAACCCCCCACUGUAACCCCAAAGGUUGACCUCGGAUCAGGUAGGAAUACCCGCUGAACUUAAGCAUAUCAAUAAGCGGAGGA
This 342-nucleotide unclassified non-coding RNA is filed under the name soil metagenome. RNAcentral's name for it is "partial contains 5.8S ribosomal RNA, internal transcribed spacer 2, and large subunit ribosomal RNA". The stretch from base 1 to 120 matches the Rfam family "5.8S ribosomal RNA", at positions 35 to 154 of the family's 154-position model. The record is from RNAcentral.